Molecule: small nuclear RNA, 107 nt
Filed under: Neotoma lepida (desert woodrat)
Lineage: Eukaryota; Metazoa; Chordata; Mammalia; Rodentia; Cricetidae
Source: RNAcentral
GUGCUCAUUUCAUCAGCAUAUAUAUUAAAUUUGGAAUUAUACAGAAAAGAUUAAUGUGACUGCUAUGCAAGGAUGACACACAAAUUCUUGAAGCACUUCAAAUUUUU